AAAUUGUUAGCUUAAGUUAAAGUUUUAGACUUUUAAUCUAAAGAUGUAUAUUCACAAUUUA
RNAcentral lists this transfer RNA (61 nucleotides) under Panagrellus redivivus. Its description in RNAcentral is "tRNA-Lys". It matches the Rfam family "tRNA". Rfam says of the family: Transfer RNA (tRNA) molecules are approximately 80 nucleotides in length. Their secondary structure includes four short double-helical elements and three loops (D, anti-codon, and T loops). Lineage: Eukaryota; Metazoa; Nematoda; Chromadorea; Rhabditida; Panagrolaimidae. The record is from RNAcentral.